RNAcentral lists this ribosomal RNA (63 nucleotides) under Toxoplasma gondii. RNAcentral describes it as "partial 28S ribosomal RNA". It matches the Rfam family "Eukaryotic large subunit ribosomal RNA", at positions 1 to 60 of the family's 3401-position model. The record is from RNAcentral. Lineage: Eukaryota; Apicomplexa; Conoidasida; Eucoccidiorida; Sarcocystidae.
AUCAGACCUGAAAUCAGGCGAGGUUACCCGCUGAACUUAAGCAUAUUAUUAAGCGGAGGAGAA